CACCUGUUUAACAAAAACAUGUCCUGUUGAUUAUAAUUUUAGGUCGAUCUGCUCAAUGAAUUAUUUUAAAUAGCUGCAGUAUGUUGACUGUACAAAGGUAGCAUAGUAAAUUGUCUUUUAAUUGAAGAAUUGUAUGAAAGAAUUAAUGAAAUAAUAACUGUCUCUAAAUUAUUAAAUGAAUUUAAAUUUUUAGUUAAAAUUCUAAAAUUUAAUUAUGGGACGAUAAGACCCUAUAGAAUUUAAUUUAAUUUUUAAAUUUAUUUAUAAUUUUAAUAAAUAUAUUUAAGAUUAAAUUUGAUUGGGAGGAUUGGUAAAUUUAAUAAACUUUAUUUAAGAUUUAAUUUUGAUAUAAAGAUAUUUUUUUGAAUUAUAAAUUGUAAUUAAAAGAAUAAAUUACCUUAGGGAUAACAGCGUAAUAUCUUUUGAUAGAUCAUAUUGAUAAAGAUGUUUGCGACCUCGAUGUUGAAUUAAGAUGAAAAUUAAGCGCAGUAGUUUAAAUUUUUAAGUCUGUUCGAUCAUUAAAAUCUU
Molecule: ribosomal RNA, 528 nt
Filed under: Apis mellifera (honey bee)
Lineage: Eukaryota; Metazoa; Arthropoda; Insecta; Hymenoptera; Apidae
Description: partial 16S ribosomal RNA
Source: RNAcentral